RNAcentral lists this ribosomal RNA (636 nucleotides) under Rasamsonia argillacea. RNAcentral describes it as "eukaryotic LSU rRNA". It matches the Rfam family "Eukaryotic large subunit ribosomal RNA", at positions 1 to 649 of the family's 3401-position model. The record is from RNAcentral. Lineage: Eukaryota; Fungi; Ascomycota; Eurotiomycetes; Eurotiales; Trichocomaceae.
UUGACCUCGGAUCAGGUAGGGAUACCCGCUGAACUUAAGCAUAUCAAUAAGCGGAAGAAAAGAAACCAACAGGGAUUGCCUCAGUAACGGCGAGUGAAGCGGCAAGAGCUCAAAUUUGAAAUCUGGCCCCCUUGGGGGGUCCGAGUUGUAAUUUGGAGAGGAUGCUUCGGGCACGGCCCCCGUCUAAGUGCCCUGGAACGGGCCGUCAUAGAGGGUGAGAAUCCCGUCUGGGACGGGUGGCCGGGCCCGUGUGAAGCUCCUUCGACGAGUCGAGUUGUUUGGGAAUGCAGCUCUAAAUGGGUGGUAAAUUUCAUCUAAAGCUAAAUAUGGGCCGGAGACCGAUAGCGCACAAGUAGAGUGAUCGAAAGAUGAAAAGCACUUUGGAAAGAGAGUUAAACAGCACGUGAAAUUGUUGAAAGGGAAGCGCUUGCGACCAGACUCGCCCGGGGGGGCUCAGCCGGCACUCGUGCCGGUGCACUCCCCCCCGGGCGGGCCAGCGUCGGUUUGGGCGGCCGGUCAAAGGCCCCCGGAAUGUGUCGCCCUCCGGGGCGUCUUAUAGCCGGGGGUGCAAUGCGGCCAGCCCAGACCGAGGAACGCGCUUCGGCUCGGACGCUGGCGUAAUGGUCGUAAGCGGCC